CAAGCCUUAAUGCGCACUCAGUGCGCACUAGUGCAAGCUACCGAAUUCGCUAUAAGUUAAAGAGAAGAAUAAGAUAAAAGUGCAAAAAAUGGUAUUAUGUUUUGUACCUUCCUGCAAAAAUAGAUCCGACUGUCAAAAUUGGAAACAAAAUGUCAAUAAAAAAAACCGCACAAAAAUUACAUUCCACAGUUUUCCAAAAAAUGCUACAAUACGUAGUUUAUGGUUGUGGAUAUAUUGAAUAUUAAAAUAACAUCUAUUCCAACAGGAGCACGCAUUUGCUCAACCCACUUUCAUGAAAAAUUUUUCGACAGAACAUCUUCAAUAACCCGAUUACGGUCAAAUGCAUUACCAUUUAGGAAAUCUGUAACAGAGACACUGCUUUUGUCAAAUCUUCCAUUAGCAACAAAAAACUUUUCUGAUAUUGUAUCUACAAUAGAAAAUGUGGAGGAAGUUGCUAACAUCUCAAUAUCCAUUCUUAAAACAAAGAAUACGGCAAAUUUAAAUCAUGAAGCAUCAGUGUCAGUUGCA
Molecule: long non-coding RNA, 528 nt
Organism: Odontomachus brunneus
Lineage: Eukaryota; Metazoa; Arthropoda; Insecta; Hymenoptera; Formicidae
Exons: 3
Source: RefSeq, a predicted model, not a curated record